RNAcentral lists this long non-coding RNA (432 nucleotides) under Nicotiana tabacum (common tobacco). Its description in RNAcentral is "long non-coding RNA (NTAB_LNC018292)". Lineage: Eukaryota; Viridiplantae; Streptophyta; Magnoliopsida; Solanales; Solanaceae. The record is from RNAcentral.
GUAAUUGAAGAUACUUGUCGAUUACUAUGCCAGAGUGAGUGAUUGAGAUGCCUUUGCCACUGCUAUAGGGGAAAAACAUGAAGAAAAUCAAAGAAAAAAGAGGGGAAAACGAGGGUUUGAGUUCAAAUCUUACAAACGGAAUGAGAAAUUUACACAAAACUUUCAAUUCUAAGAAAAAUAAAGUAGAAAGAAUCAUGAAAUUUGAGUUAAUCUCUCAAAAUUGAGAUCUUUACCUUGAGUUUUUAAGCGUGGUGGAGGUUUUCAUCUUUUGAGAAGUGGGCGGAGGUUUUGAGAUUUUGAGAAGUGGGCAGAGCUUUUGAGCUUUUGAGAAAAAAAUGAACGAAGCAAAAAAUAGCGUGGAAAAUAUUAGCGCGCUGUUUUUUGCAGAUAUCUUAGGUUUUCAGCCGCCGCUAUUUUCUUAUAUUGUGUCAG